Molecule: ribosomal RNA, 94 nt
Filed under: Chrysanthemum zawadzkii subsp. latilobum
Lineage: Eukaryota; Viridiplantae; Streptophyta; Magnoliopsida; Asterales; Asteraceae
Source: RNAcentral
GGGUGCGAUCGUACCAGCACUAAAGCACCGAUCCCAUCAGAACUCUUUAGUUAAACGUGCUUGGGCGAGAGUAGUACUGGCUUGGGUGAACCGC